RNAcentral lists this ribosomal RNA (550 nucleotides) under uncultured bacterium. Its description in RNAcentral is "bacterial SSU rRNA". It matches the Rfam family "Bacterial small subunit ribosomal RNA", at positions 777 to 1319 of the family's 1533-position model. The record is from RNAcentral.
AAUAGAUACCCAGGUAGUCCAUGCCGUAAACGUUGGGCACUAGGUGUGGGGGACAUUCCACGUUUUCCGCGCCGUAGCUAACGCAUUAAGUGCCCCGCCUGGGGAGUACGGCCGCNAAGGCUAAAACUCAAAGGAAUUGACGGGGGCCCGCACAAGCGGCGGAGCAUGCGGAUUAAUUCGAUGCAACGCGAAGAACCUUACCAAGGCUUGACAUGGACCGGACCCGGGNCUGGAAACAGUCUUUCCCCUUUUGGGGCUGGUUUACAGGUGGUGCAUGGUUGUCGUCAGCUCGUGUCGUGAGAUGUUGGGUUAAGUCCCGCAACGAGCGCAACCCUCGUUCUAUGUUGCCAGCACGUGAUGGUGGGGACUCAUAGGAGACUGCCGGGGUCAACUCGGAGGAAGGUGGGGACGACGUCAAAUCAUCAUGCCCCUUAUGUCUUGGGUCUUCACGCAUGCUACAAUGGCCGGUACAAAGGGUUGCGAUACUGUGAGGUGGAGCUAAUCCCAAAAAGCCGGUCUCAGUUCGGAUUGGGGUCUGCAACUCGACCCC